GGAGAAGUAAUGAUCAUAACAUUAUGAAUUGUAUUUAUUGGUGGAAUAGAGUCCAAUCAAGUUUUUGUCACUUCCUCACAGGAGAAUAUUAUGCGCUUGAAGAUUCCAUCGAUG
Molecule: non-coding RNA, 114 nt
Filed under: Paramoeba aestuarina
Lineage: Eukaryota; Discosea; Flabellinia; Dactylopodida; Paramoebidae
Source: RNAcentral